This 377-nucleotide ribosomal RNA is filed under the name uncultured eukaryote. RNAcentral describes it as "partial 18S ribosomal RNA". It matches the Rfam family "Eukaryotic small subunit ribosomal RNA", at positions 592 to 976 of the family's 1831-position model. The record is from RNAcentral.
CAAUAGCGUAUAUUUAAGUUGCUGCAGUUAAAAAGCUCGUAGUUGGAUUUCGGGUGGGAAUGGCCGGUCCGCCGUUUCGGUGUGCACUUGCUACGCCCACCUUGCUGACGGGGACGUGCUCUUGAGUUCACGCUCGGGACACGGAGUCGGCGAGGUUACUUUGAGUAAAUUAGAGUGUUCAAAGCAGGCCUACGCUCUGAAUACAUUAGCAUGGAAUAACACGAUAGGACUCUGGCCUAUCUUGUUGGUCUGUAGGACCGGAGUAAUGAUUAAGAGGGACAGUCGGGGGCAUUCGUAUUUCAUUGUCAGAGGUGAAAUUCUUGGAUUUAUGAAAGACGAACUACUGCGAAAGCAUUUGCCAAGGAUGUUUUCAUUAA